Molecule: ribosomal RNA, 247 nt
Filed under: uncultured bacterium
Lineage: Bacteria
Description: partial 16S ribosomal RNA
Rfam family: Bacterial small subunit ribosomal RNA
Source: RNAcentral
AUACGUAGGGGGCGAGCGUUGUCCGGAAUGACUGGGCGUAAAGGGCGUGUAGGCGGCUUUUUAAGUCUGGAGUGAAAGUCCUGCUUUCAAGGUGGGAAUUGCUUUGGAAACUGGAGAGCUUGAGUGCGGAAGAGGUAAGUGGAAUUCCCAGUGUAGCGGUGAAAUGCGUAGAUAUUAGGAGGAACACCAGUGGCGAAGGCGACUUACUGGACGAUAACUGACGCUGAGGCUCGAAAGCGUGGGGAGC